UGGGGAAUAUUGCACAAUGGGCGCAAGCCUGAUGCAGCCAUGCCGCGUGUAUGAAGAAGGCCUUCGGGUUGUAAAGUACUUUCAGCGGGGAGGAAGGGAGUAAAGUUAAUACCUUUGCUCAUUGACGUUACCCGCAGAAGAAGCACCGGCUAACUCCGUGCCAGCAGCCGCGGUAAUACGGAGGGUGCAAGCGUUAAUCGGAAUUACUGGGCGUAAAGCGCACGCAGGCGGUUUGUUAAGUCAGAUGUGAAAUCCUCGGGCUCAACCUGGGAAAUGCAUAUGAUACUGGCAAGCUUGAGUCUCGUAGAGGGGGGUAGAAUUCCAGGUGUAGCGGUGAAAUGCGUAGAGAUCUGGAGGAAUACCGGUGGCGAAGGCGGCCCCCUGGACGAAGACUGACGCUCAGGUGCGAAAGCGUGGGGAGCAAACAGG
This 429-nucleotide ribosomal RNA is filed under the name Chloroflexota bacterium. RNAcentral describes it as "Chloroflexi bacterium partial 16S ribosomal RNA". It matches the Rfam family "Bacterial small subunit ribosomal RNA", at positions 355 to 776 of the family's 1533-position model. Lineage: Bacteria; Bacillati; Chloroflexota. The record is from RNAcentral.